This 466-nucleotide ribosomal RNA is filed under the name uncultured bacterium. Its description in RNAcentral is "partial 16S ribosomal RNA". It matches the Rfam family "Bacterial small subunit ribosomal RNA", at positions 28 to 506 of the family's 1533-position model. The record is from RNAcentral.
GACGAACGCUGGCGGCGUGCUUAACACAUGCAAGUCGAACGGAAAGGCCUCUUUCGGGGGGUACUCGAGUGGCGAACGGGUGAGUAACACGUGAGUAACCUGCCCUUGACUUUGGGAUAACUUCAGGAAACUGGGGCUAAUACCGGAUAGGAGCUCCUGCUGCAUGGUGGGGGGUGGAAAGUUUCGGCGGUUGGGGAUGGACUCGCGGCUUAUCAGCUUGUUGGUGGGGUAGUGGCUUACCAAGGCUUUGACGGGUAGCCGGCCUGAGAGGGUGACCGGCCACAUUGGGACUGAGAUACGGCCCAGACUCCUACGGGAGGCAGCAGUGGGGAAUAUUGCACAAUGGGUGGAAGCCUGAUGCAGCAACGCCGUGUGCGGGAUGACGGCCUUCGGGUUGUAAACCGCUUUCGCUCAUGACGAAGCUUUGUGUGACGGUAGUGGAGAAAGAGGCACCGGCUAACUACGU